UGUUGUUAUAUUACUUUGUUACAUAUAUGUUUAUCUGUAAACGUGAUGUAAACAAUGCUACUUGUGCGUUCUGAGUUUAUUUACCAAAAUUUACAUUCCUGUCUCGACAUACUCAAGAUCUUGUAAUACAAAAUCACACUUGGAAGAACUUCUUUAUUCUCUGCUGUACAUUGGCACCUUUCCUGAAUGUGGUUUUUGUUGAUGCCUGAUUGUGAUUGUUUCAAGAUGAAAUCAGUCAACAACGACUAGUUACAUUUAAUGUUGAAGAAAUGUAACCAAGUUUACAUUGGAACCAUAAUAAAUGAAUUUAAAAAGU
Molecule: long non-coding RNA, 316 nt
Organism: Pieris rapae (cabbage white)
Lineage: Eukaryota; Metazoa; Arthropoda; Insecta; Lepidoptera; Pieridae
Exons: 2
Source: RefSeq, a predicted model, not a curated record